AUGCUGAAGAACUGUUCAACGAGCAUAAAGAUCAAUUUUCUCUGGUAUGAGCAGUCGAGUCAGUGCAAAACUAUGAGGGAUAGCAGCGUAAGUUAUGCAUCUGCGGCAGCAAAGGUAGAUGCUUGAAAAUGUAUUCUCCUUUGAGACAUCCAGCAAUUUAAUUCUCAUCAAAUUGACUGUAAUGUUUAACCCCAAGUAAAUAUGCAUUUCAUGAACCCUCA
Molecule: long non-coding RNA, 221 nt
Filed under: Prunus dulcis (almond)
Lineage: Eukaryota; Viridiplantae; Streptophyta; Magnoliopsida; Rosales; Rosaceae
Description: sRNA ncRNA
Source: RNAcentral